UCCGCCAUAGCUCAGUUGGUAGUAGCGCAUGACUGUUAAUCAUGAUGUCGUAGGUUCGAGUCCUACUGGUGGAG
This 74-nucleotide transfer RNA is filed under the name Streptococcus oralis. Its description in RNAcentral is "tRNA-Asn". It matches the Rfam family "tRNA". From Rfam's summary of the family: Transfer RNA (tRNA) molecules are approximately 80 nucleotides in length. Their secondary structure includes four short double-helical elements and three loops (D, anti-codon, and T loops). The record is from RNAcentral. RNAcentral also lists the same sequence under 1 other name. Lineage: Bacteria; Bacillati; Bacillota; Bacilli; Lactobacillales; Streptococcaceae.